AGAUGCGCCCAGCAGCGGCUGCGCCGGGACCCCACGUUUUCCGCUCAAGAUGAAGACGCUAAAAUUCAGAGCUCAACACAUGGCAUAGUCAAGACUUGAACUCAAGUCAUCAAACUCCAAAGUCUAUGCUCAACCACAGUGCCCUCCUGCCUUCUCUGCUAUAAUACAGUCCACUGGACCUUCACAUGUCAAAAUGCAGAUUCCCCAAAUCCAUCUGCUCUUGCAGAUGGCCAAAAAUGUCCAUAUAUUGUCUUGGUUUCACCUUUGUUGUGAUGUUUCUCCUCACUCUGUGCAUCCUGUGAAUGUGUCAAAACAAUUUGGGACAUGCAUGGCUAUGUAUGUGGGUGCUUUUGUGCAUGUGUGCAUGAGUGUGUGGAUGUGUGUGUGUAUGCAGGUGUACACUUGUGCAUAUGCAAGUGUACAUAGGUGCAUGUGUGUAUCUGUGAGCACAUGCAUGUAUGUGUGGGUAAGAGUUCAUGCAUGUGUAUUUGCACCUGUGUGCAUGUGUGUGCGCAUAUGUCUGUGAAUGUAUGCAUGUGUAUUUGUGCGCCUGUGUGCCCAUGCUACAUUUCACAGACAACAGUUCCUGCUUGGUUGUUAUGGGAACCACAGUUCUAAAAAUGUUAAACUGAAUCCCA
RNAcentral lists this long non-coding RNA (638 nucleotides) under Homo sapiens (human). RNAcentral describes it as "HSALNT0303552". Lineage: Eukaryota; Metazoa; Chordata; Mammalia; Primates; Hominidae. The record is from RNAcentral.